Long non-coding RNA from Brassica napus (rape), 1909 nucleotides. RefSeq lists it as uncharacterized. The record is from RefSeq and is a predicted model, not a curated record. NCBI's taxonomy places the organism in Eukaryota, Viridiplantae, Streptophyta, Magnoliopsida, Brassicales, Brassicaceae. The transcript is spliced from 2 exons.
AAUAAAUAUAUAUAUAUAUAUAUAUAUAUAUAUAUAUAACUUUGUAAGAAAUAAAAAAAUUGUCAGAUGACGAGGACCAGAGCUUUUAAGGAGUUUUGCCAUGUUGUGUAAAAUCAAAACAACAUUAAAAUAUCCAAUAUUGUAAGUGUUAUAAUAGAUAGAUAAAAUGCAAGGAAGGGAAGAAGAGUGUGGUCAUACAAAGACUGGCAAAUCUGAAGAGACUCUCAGGCCCAGUGUUCUGUUGCUUCUUCUACAGCACUUGAUGCUCAUGUCUCUCUGACUACUCUUUCCUCACUUCCCAAUUUUUUCUCUCUUCACAUCUUUCUAUAUUUAAGCUUUAAGCUUUGCUUACUACAAAAACAAAACUAAAAUCAUAAGAGCACCCACAAUAGUAGAAUAUGUCAAGUGGGGUUUUUAGCCAAAUAAUAUUAAUAUCUUCAUAUAAUAUAAUUAUAUAAUUAAUUUUAUAUUCUGAUGAGCUAUGUAGAAAAAUGUGGUAUCUGUCGUUCUUUAGGUGUCACAAAAUGGUAAAUAAGGAAAAAAGAAAAAUGUUUUAUUUGUGAAGUAGAGAGCACGGAAGAGACCAUUGGAUAAAGUGGGGGACUAGGUUUGUUUGGUUGCAACUUGCAAGUGAAGUGAAUACCUUUGUUUUUAAAAAUAAAUUGUGAAAUAUUUUGUCGUUUUUAUUAAAUAUUUUUGCAGGCAUUAGUUUUAUAGAAUCUAUCUAUCUAUAAUAAUAAAACAGGUUUUUCUCUCACCUCAGCCCUCCAUGUCAUCAUUCAGCAUGGGGCAUUCUUCGACACGUGGCGAUUCUUAAUUCUUGGACUCACGUUUUUUUUCGUUCACUAAAGCUUCUAUUAUUUGGGCUUCCAACGAAAUUUAUAUUGAUAUCUGUGGGUUGGCUAAUUUAUUGGACUAGCUUAGUGAAAACAUGCACAAACCCGUGAUGUUUUAAUGUAUAAACCCAAUAACUUCAUCUCUCCCUUGACAAAGUCUGCUGCAUUGUCGAUCGAAGUUCCAUCACUUUGCUAAGACGACGGGAUGUCGUAACUGUUUGUAGUUUACAUUCAAUAGUCGUCAUUUAUGAUGGCUUUAACAUCACCGACCCACGUCUCCCACUAUCCAUCAUUCAAUGGACUCUCCUUGCUCAAAGGCUCCCAAUCUACACUUAUAAAUAAGGGUUUUCUAUUCUGUCAGAUUCAUCAGUUUCUCCUUCACAGGCAUUAGAAUCCUUAGAAAACUGCACACCAGUCAUGGCUGCCUCAUCGAUUCUGACAAAUCUCUGAAGAGAUGACGAAGCCACCAUGGAUACGUUCGAUGAUCAUUCAACAAUCUUCUUUUAGAAAUUAAUUUCAGUGUUGAAACUGGUGAGUACCUUAGGGAUCGUAUUCGAAUAUGUGAUUACUCAAUAAUGAUCGUAUCUUGCAGAUUUGUUUUCUUCGUUCUUCUUCUUUGGUGGGUGCAGAUUUAUUUGUGCCGAGUACUGGAGAUGAUUAGAAGAUAUCUCUGUGUCUGAAAGAUGGGAAUAGUUUAGCAGUUCCGGUUGCUGUGAAGAACGAUGGUGGUAGUGAGGUAUAACUUACGCGACACCCAGACAUUAAACGCGUCUUCUUCGUUUAUGAGAGAAUCCACUUUCAAAGCACAUAUCCAGAGAUAACACCAUGACCAUAAACGAAACAAUGAGUAGAGACUAAGAAGAGCGUCGGUUGUUGCAGCAGGUGCCUUGAAUGGUGAUUAAAUAGACGAUUCAGGAGAAGAUAAUGAUGACUUCUACUCUGAUUCUGAAAGUGACCACAUCCAUUUUCUAAUAAUGAAAGUAUUCUUUUUCUUAUUUUGUAAUUUCGACCCUCUGUUCUAUAUCAAAUAUGAACCACCUUUAUGAGUUUCAGUUAUUUUGGAGACUCAUCUA